AUGAACGCUGGCGGCGUGCCUAAUACAUGCCAGUCGCGCGAACAGACGAGGAGCUUGCUCCUCUGACGUUAGCGGCGGACGGGUGAGUAACACGUGGAUAACCUACCUAUAAGACUGGGAUAACUUCGGGAAACCGGAGCUAAUACCGGAUAAUAUAUUGAACCGCCUGGUUCAAUAGUGAAAGACGGUUUUGCUGUCACUUAUAGAUGGAUCCGCGCCGCAUUAGCUAGUUGGUAAGGUAACGGCUUACCAAGGCAACGAUGCGUAGCCGACCUGAGAGGGUGAUCGGCCACACUGGAACUGAGACACGGUCCAGACUCCUACGGGAGGCAGCAGUAGGGAAUCUUCCGCAAUGGGCGAAAGCCUGACGGAGCAACGCCGCGUGAGUGAUGAAGGUCUUCGGAUCGUAAAACUCUGUUAUUAGGGAAGAACAAAUGUGUAAGUAACUAUGCACGUCUUGACGGUACCUAAUCAGAAAGCCACGGCUAACUACGUG
Molecule: ribosomal RNA, 496 nt
Filed under: uncultured bacterium
Lineage: Bacteria
Description: partial 16S ribosomal RNA
Rfam family: Bacterial small subunit ribosomal RNA
Source: RNAcentral